GAGAAUUUUUCUCAAUGGGGGAAACCCUGAAGGCGCGACGCCGCGUGGAGGAUGAAGGUCUUCGGAUCGUAAACUCCUGUCAUUUGAGAACAAGUGUAUGCCAAUAACUACGGCGUACUUGAUAGUAUCAGAAGAGGAAGAGGCGGCUAACUCUGUGCCAGCAGCCGCGGUAAUACAGAGGCCUCAAGCGUUGUUCGGAUUCAUUGGGCGUAAAGGGUGCGUAGGCGGUUCCGUAAGUCGGAUGUGAAAUCUUGGGGCUCAACCUCAAAACUGCAUUCGAUACUGCGGGGCUAGAGGACUGGAGAGGAGAGUGGAAUUCACGGUGUAGCAGUGAAAUGCGUAGAUAUCGUGAGGAAGACCAGCGGCGAAGGCGGCUCUCUGGACAGUUCCUGGCGCUGAUGCACGAAGGCCAGGGGAGCAAACG
Molecule: ribosomal RNA, 424 nt
Filed under: uncultured bacterium
Lineage: Bacteria
Description: bacterial SSU rRNA
Rfam family: Bacterial small subunit ribosomal RNA
Source: RNAcentral